AUCCAACUGACAAGUCACAAAUAGGACGAAAUGUACGUCCUAGAU
Non-coding RNA from Schistosoma haematobium, 45 nucleotides. The record is from Rfam. NCBI's taxonomy places the organism in Eukaryota, Metazoa, Platyhelminthes, Trematoda, Strigeidida, Schistosomatidae.